GUCGCCCACAGCCCCAGGAAUCUGCAUUUUAAAUAAUCACCCAGCCUUCCUCUAGGCCUCGCCUCUUCCAGCUCUGCUCCCAAGGAACAUUUCAGAGAAGGACAAUCACUAAAGAGAAAGGCCGAAACUUGAAAUGAUAUUAAUGCUGCUCUCUCUCUUACACAUGGUACAACUCUGUGACGAAGAGACAGGAACGAGAACAGAGGAUGAAGAAAACUAUUCUAGAAUAAAAAUAUAUGAAAAGAA
Long non-coding RNA from Lynx canadensis (Canada lynx), 246 nucleotides. RefSeq lists it as uncharacterized. The record is from RefSeq and is a predicted model, not a curated record. NCBI's taxonomy places the organism in Eukaryota, Metazoa, Chordata, Mammalia, Carnivora, Felidae. The transcript is spliced from 2 exons.